RNAcentral lists this ribosomal RNA (638 nucleotides) under uncultured bacterium. RNAcentral describes it as "bacterial SSU rRNA". It matches the Rfam family "Bacterial small subunit ribosomal RNA", at positions 379 to 1033 of the family's 1533-position model. The record is from RNAcentral.
AAGUCUGAUGGAGCACGCCGCGUGCAGGAUGAAGGCCUUAGGGUUGUAAACUGCUUUUAUAGGUGAAGAAUAUGACGGUAACCUAUGAAUAAGGGUCGGCUAACUACGUGCCAGCAGCCGCGGUCAUACGUAGGACCCAAGCGUUAUCCGGAAUUACUGGGCGUAAAGAGUUGCGUAGGUGGCAGAGUAAGUAGAGAGUGAAAGCGUUCGGCUCAACCGAAUAAACAUUUUCUAAACUGCUCAGCUAGAGAACGAGAGAGGUAGAUGGAAUUCCCAGUGUAGGAGUGAAAUCCGUAGAUAUUGGGAGGAACACCGAUGGCGUAGGCAGUCUACUGGCUCGUUUCUGACACUAAGGCACGAAAGCGUGGGUAGCAAACAGGAUUAGAUACCCUGGUAGUCCACGCCGUAAACUAUGGAUGCUAGCUGUUAGAAGUAUCGACCCUUCUAGUAGCGAAGCUAACGCGUUAAGCAUCCCGCCUGUGGAGUACGGUCGCAAGACUAAAACAUAAAGGAAUUGACGGGGACCCGCACAAGCGGUGGAGCGUGUUGUUUAAUUCGAUGAUAAGCGAAGAACCUUACCCAGACUUGACAUCCUUGGAAGCACUGCGAAAGCAGAGUGUGCCUUCGGGAACCAAGUG